Molecule: ribosomal RNA, 433 nt
Filed under: uncultured bacterium
Lineage: Bacteria
Description: partial 16S ribosomal RNA
Rfam family: Bacterial small subunit ribosomal RNA
Source: RNAcentral
GACGAACGCUGGCGGCAUGCCUAACACAUGCAAGUCGAACGAGACCUCCCGGCCUUGUUGCGGACGGGUGCGUGACAAGUGGGAACCUGCCCUUAGGUUCGGAAUACCUCACCGAGAGAGGUCCUAAUAACAGUUAAUGUCUUAGGACCUAGGAUUUUUCGCCUUUGGGUGGGCCCGCGUUGGAUUCGCUGGUUGGUAGGGUAAUAGCCUACCAACGCGACGAUCCAUAGCUGGUCGGUGAGGAUGAUCCGCCACGCUGGGGCUGAGACACGGCCCACACCGCGACGGGAGGGUGCAGUGGAGAAUAUUGUACACGGGGCGAAGGCCUGAUCCGGCAGUGCCGCGUGUGAGAGGAAUGGCGUUGUGUUGUAAUGCUCUUUUACCCGGGAUGAUAAUGACAGUACCGGGUGAAUAAGCUCCGGCUAACUCCGUG